CCAACGGCCCUCUUUAGGGCCACAAUGAAGUGAUUCGAGUACUUU
This is a non-coding RNA of Dictyocaulus viviparus (bovine lungworm), 45 nucleotides long. The record is from Rfam. NCBI's taxonomy places the organism in Eukaryota, Metazoa, Nematoda, Chromadorea, Rhabditida, Metastrongylidae.